Molecule: ribosomal RNA, 484 nt
Filed under: uncultured bacterium
Lineage: Bacteria
Description: partial 16S ribosomal RNA
Rfam family: Bacterial small subunit ribosomal RNA
Source: RNAcentral
AUUGAACGCUGGCGGCAGGCCUAACACAUGCAAGUCGAGCGGAUGAAGGGAGCUUGCUCCUGGAUUCAGCGGCGGACGGGUGAGUAAUGCCUAGGAAUCUGCCUGGUAGUGGGGGAUAACGUCCGGAAACGGGCGCUAAUACCGCAUACGUCCUGAUGGAGAAAGUGGGGGAUCUUCGGACCUCACGCUAUCAGAUGAGCCUAGGUCGGAUUAGCUAGUUGGUGGGGUAAAGGCCUACCAAGGCGACGAUCCGUAACUGGUCUGAGAGGAUGAUCAGUCACACUGGAACUGAGACACGGUCCAGACUCCUACGGGAGGCAGCAGUGGGGAAUAUUGGACAAUGGGCGAAAGCCUGAUCCAGCCAUGCCGCGUGUGUGAAGAAGGUCUUCGGAUUGUAAAGCACUUUAAGUUGGGAGGAAGGGCAGUAAGUUAAUACCUUGCUGUUUUGACGUUACCAAAAGAAUAAGUACCGGCUAACUUCGUG